AAAAAUUAAAGUCGAACAGACUUAACACUUAAAUCUCUACAUUCAAAUGUAAACUUAAUUCAACAUCGAGGUCAUAAACAUUUCCAUAAAUAUGAUCUUCAAAAAAAUAUUAUG
RNAcentral lists this ribosomal RNA (114 nucleotides) under Diaphorina citri (Asian citrus psyllid). RNAcentral's name for it is "partial 16S ribosomal RNA". The record is from RNAcentral. Lineage: Eukaryota; Metazoa; Arthropoda; Insecta; Hemiptera; Psyllidae.